UACGUAGGGCGCAAGCGUUGUCCGGAAUUAUUGGGCGUAAAGAGCUCGUAGGCGGUCCGUCACGUCUGCCGUGAAAACCCGAGGCUUAACCUCGGGCCUGCGGUGGAUACGGGCGAACUAGAGGUAGGUAGGGGAGAAUGGAAUUCCCGGUGUAGCGGUGAAAUGCGCAGAUAUCGGGAGGAACACCGGUGGCGAAGGCGGUUCUCUGGGCCUUACCUGACGCUGAGGAGCGAAAGCGUGGGGAGCGAACAGG
RNAcentral lists this ribosomal RNA (253 nucleotides) under uncultured bacterium. Its description in RNAcentral is "partial 16S ribosomal RNA". It matches the Rfam family "Bacterial small subunit ribosomal RNA", at positions 524 to 776 of the family's 1533-position model. The record is from RNAcentral.